GACGAACGCUGGCGGCGUGCCUAAUACAUGCAAGUAGAACGCACAGUUUAUACCGUAGCUUGCUACACCAUAGACUGUGAGUUGCGAACGGGUGAGUAACGCGUAGGUAACCUGCCUGGUAGCGGGGGGUAACUAUUGGAAACGAUAGCUAAUACCGCAUAAUAUUGAUUAUUGCAUGAUAAUUGAUUGAAAGAUGCUAUUGCAUCACUACCAGAUGGACCUGCGUUGUAUUAGCUAGUAGGUGAGGUAACGGCUCACCUAGGCGACGAUACAUAGCCGACCUGAGAGGGUGAUCGGCCACACUGGGACUGAGACACGGCCCAGACUCCUACGGGAGGCAGCAGUAGGGAAUCUUCGGCAAUGGACGAAAGUCUGACCGAGCAACGCCGCGUGAGUGAAGAAGGUUUUCGGAUCGUAAAGCUCUGUUGUAAGAGAAGAACGGGUGUGAGAGUGGAAAGUUCACACUGUGACAGUAUCUUACCAGAAAGGGACGGCUAACUACGUG
Molecule: ribosomal RNA, 505 nt
Filed under: uncultured bacterium
Lineage: Bacteria
Description: partial 16S ribosomal RNA
Rfam family: Bacterial small subunit ribosomal RNA
Source: RNAcentral